UACUGGACAUGCGAGCUUUGAGUGUCUGACUCUGUCGACAUUCCAAAAACUAGAGGUGAAAACAUGUCAUUUUGAACAUAAAAGUCUUGUGCAGAAAAAAUGCCGAAGAAGGAGAAGGGAGUCUACCGCUUCUGCUUAUUUGGGAACAAAAAUAAACUGAUCACAAUCAAUGAAAUUAUUGAAACUGUGGAACAGCUGAAAAAACAUGGCAUGCAACUGGAGGACCAUGCACUUCAUAAAGAAGGCCCCUGGGGUCAAGUUUGCCUGACACUUGGUAUUCAGAAUAAUAAAAAUAACCGCUACAGAAUUUGUGAUGCAUUUCGUCAGAACUUGUCUAUACCAGUCGAAGGGGAUUCAGAUAAUGGACAAAAGCCACCAGAGCAGGAAGAACUAUCAGCUGCUGCUUCUCUGUCACCGGUCUUCUCCUUGCAGGAGGAUGGACAGCUGUCUCCUGAGCAGCAACCAGAAGAAGAACUAUCAGCUGCUGCUUCUCUGUCACCGGUCUUCUCCUUGCAGGAGGAUGGACAGCUGUCUCCUGAGCAGCCUAACAGCAACUCAUCUGAUGAUGGAUUCAUAAGAGUCAGGGUCCCACUUGCAACAAAAUUUUUUUUCCUGAAAAGGAAAGAAUGGACUAAUAUAAAAAAUAAGAGAUCCCAAAGAGGAUACAAGGGACUACAGUGGACAAAUCUGAUUUCAGACGGAAUACGGACUGUGUUUCCAUAUUGUUCCUUUGCCUUCAAAAGGCACAGAGUCAAGGCUUUGGACUCAGUAAGAAAGGGCCCUUUCUUCUGGUGUCUGGGUUACUGCAGUUUUGAGGAUUGUCCAGUCACUGUCACUGUCACUGUAGAUAAUGAAGACGAUCUAAAGACAAAAGUCAAUUUUCAAGGUCUCGAGUGUGUGCACAACCAGUAUGAACUAAGAAGAAGACC
Long non-coding RNA from Astatotilapia calliptera (eastern happy), 929 nucleotides. Lineage: Eukaryota; Metazoa; Chordata; Actinopteri; Cichliformes; Cichlidae. The record is from Ensembl.